RNAcentral lists this ribosomal RNA (495 nucleotides) under uncultured bacterium. Its description in RNAcentral is "partial 16S ribosomal RNA". It matches the Rfam family "Bacterial small subunit ribosomal RNA", at positions 30 to 507 of the family's 1533-position model. The record is from RNAcentral.
UGAACGCUGGCGGCGUGCCUACUACAUGCAAGUCGAGCGAACGGACGAGAAGCUUGCUUCUCUGAUGUUAGCGGCGGACGGGUGAGUAACACGUGGAUAACCUACCUAUAAGACUGGGAUAACUUCGGGAAACCGGAGCUAAUACCGGAUAAUAUUUUGAACCGCAUGGUUCAAAAGUGGAAGACGGUCUUGCUGUCACUUAUAGAUGGAUCCGCGCUGCAUUAGCUAGUUGGUAAGGUAACGGCUUACCAAGGCAACGAUGCAUAGCCGACCUGAGAGGGUGAUCGGCCACACUGGAACUGAGACACGGUCCAGACUCCUACGGGAGGCAGCAGUAGGGAAUCUUCCGCAAUGGGCGAAAGCCUGACGGAGCAACGCCGCGUGAGUGAUGAAGGUCUUCGGAUCGUAAAACUCUGUUAUUAGGGAAGAACAUAUGUGUAAGUAACUGUGCACAUCUUGACGGUACCUAAUCAGAAAGCCACGGCUAACUACGUG